AGAGUUUGAUCCUGGCUCAGAUUGAACGCUGGCGGCAGGCCUAACACAUGCAAGUCGAACGGUAACAGGAAGCAGCUUGCUGCUUCGCUGACGAGUGGCGGACGGGUGAGUAAUGUCUGGGAAACUGCCUGAUGGAGGGGGAUAACUACUGGAAACGGUAGCUAAUACCGCAUAACGUCGCAAGACCAAAGAGGGGGACCUUCGGGCCUCUUACCAUCAGAUGUGCCCAGAUGGGAUUAGCUAGUAGGUGGGGUAACGGCUCACCUAGGCGACGAUCCCUACUGGUCUGAGAGGAUGACCAGCCACACUGGAACUGAGACACGGUCCAGACUCCUACGGGAGGCAGCAGUGGGGAAUAUUGCACAAUGGGCGCAAGCCUGAUGCAGCCAUGCCGCGUGUAUGAAGAAGGCCUUCGGGUUGUAAAAGUCCUUUAACGGGGAGGAAGGCGAUGUGGUAAUAAACCGCGUCGAUUGCGUUACCCGCAGAAGAACACCGGCUAACUUCGUGCCACAACCCGCGUAAUACCGAGGGUGCAGCGUUAAUCGGAUUACUGGCGUAAACGCACCCAGGCGGNUGUCAAGUCGAUGUAAAUCCCCGGCUAACCUGGACUGAUUCNAACUGGGAGGUUGAUUUUUANAGGGGGNGAUCAUUNCGGGAA
Molecule: ribosomal RNA, 658 nt
Filed under: uncultured bacterium
Lineage: Bacteria
Description: bacterial SSU rRNA
Rfam family: Bacterial small subunit ribosomal RNA
Source: RNAcentral